UCUUAAUAAAUGCCGAAUUUCUUUUUUGCAAGAAAACGGGGGAACCAUUUCGGGUGAAUUAUUCUUGUUCCAGAGGGAGUAUAGGGAAAUUCCUACCACCGAACCCUUAGCUAACUCCGUAGGCAUCAGGGGGAAAAAUU
RNAcentral lists this small RNA (140 nucleotides) under Saccharibacillus sacchari. RNAcentral describes it as "c-di-AMP sequence". It matches the Rfam family "c-di-AMP riboswitch aptamer (ydaO/yuaA leader)". Rfam says of the family: This family represents a conserved RNA structure found upstream of the ydaO and yuaA genes in Bacillus subtilis and related genes in other bacteria. The ydaO/yuaA element is thought to act as a genetic "off" switch for the ydaO and yuaA genes in its native state. Lineage: Bacteria; Bacillati; Bacillota; Bacilli; Caryophanales; Paenibacillaceae. The record is from RNAcentral. RNAcentral also lists the same sequence under 1 other name.